CUGCCAUGUGAGACAUACCUUUCACCUUCCGCCAUGAUUGUGAGGCCUCUCCAGCCACGUGGAACUCAGGUUUCAGUCCUUGAGGAGCGCUCACUAGGAUGGUAAUUGUUUGAUCGAUAGAUUAAGUGAGUUGGAAGACUCUCCAAGUGAAAAUUUAAAAUUACUGCAGUUUUGGCCUGAUGAUGUUAACCAGCAAGA
Long non-coding RNA from Homo sapiens (human), 198 nucleotides. The record is from Ensembl. Lineage: Eukaryota; Metazoa; Chordata; Mammalia; Primates; Hominidae.